GCCCCUGUAGUUCAAUGGAUAGAACCGGAGACUUCUAAGCUCUUAAUGGGGGUUCGAUUCCCUCCGGGGGCA
RNAcentral lists this transfer RNA (72 nucleotides) under Candidatus Nomurabacteria bacterium. RNAcentral describes it as "tRNA-Arg". It matches the Rfam family "tRNA". Rfam says of the family: Transfer RNA (tRNA) molecules are approximately 80 nucleotides in length. Their secondary structure includes four short double-helical elements and three loops (D, anti-codon, and T loops). The record is from RNAcentral. Lineage: Bacteria; Candidatus Nomuraibacteriota.